AGUGAACGCUGGCGGUAGGCCUAACACAUGCAAGUCGAACGGCAGCACAGUAAGAGCUUGCUCUUACGGGUGGCGAGUGGCGGACGGGUGAGGAAUACAUCGGAAUCUACUUUUUCGUGGGGGAUAACGUAGGGAAACUUACGCUAAUACCGCAUACGACCUACGGGUGAAAGCAGGGGAUCUUCGGACCUUGCGCGAUUGAAUGAGCCGAUGUCGGAUUAGCUAGUUGGCGGGGUAAAGGCCCACCAAGGCGACGAUCCGUAGCUGGUCUGAGAGGAUGAUCAGCCACACUGGAACUGAGACACGGUCCAGACUCCUACGGGAGGCAGCAGUGGGGAAUAUUGGACAAUGGGCGCAAGCCUGAUCCAGCCAUACCGCGUGGGUGAAGAAGGCCUUCGGGUUGUAAAGCCCUUUUGUCGGGAAAGAAAAGCAGCAGGUUAAUACCCCGCUGUUCUGACGGUACCCAAAGAAUAGGCACCGGCUAACUUCGUG
Molecule: ribosomal RNA, 492 nt
Filed under: uncultured bacterium
Lineage: Bacteria
Description: partial 16S ribosomal RNA
Rfam family: Bacterial small subunit ribosomal RNA
Source: RNAcentral